CGCCCAGACUCCUACGGGAGGCAGCAGUGGGGAAUAUUGCACAAUGGGGGAAACCCUGAUGCAGCGACGCCGCGUGAGUGAAGAAGUCUUUCGGUAUGUAAAGCUCUAUCAGCAGGGAAGAAAAUGACGGUACCUGACUAAGAAGCCCCGGCUAACUACGUGCCAGCAGCCGCGGUAAUACGUAGGGGGCAAGCGUUAUCCGGAUUUACUGGGUGUAAAGGGAGCGUAGACGGCAUGGCAAGUCAGAUGUGAAAGCCCGGGGCUCAACCCCGGGACUGCAUUUGAAACUGUCAGGCUGGAGUGCAGGAGAGGUAAGUGGAAUUCCUAGUGUAGCGGUGAAAUGCGUAGAUAUUAGGAGGAACACCAGUGGCGAAGGCGGUCUGCUGGACAGCAACUGACGCUGAGGCGCGAAGGCGUGGGGAGCAAACAGGAUUAGAUACCCUCGUA
Molecule: ribosomal RNA, 447 nt
Filed under: uncultured bacterium
Lineage: Bacteria
Description: partial 16S ribosomal RNA
Rfam family: Bacterial small subunit ribosomal RNA
Source: RNAcentral